Molecule: ribosomal RNA, 492 nt
Filed under: uncultured bacterium
Lineage: Bacteria
Description: bacterial SSU rRNA
Rfam family: Bacterial small subunit ribosomal RNA
Source: RNAcentral
GACGAACGCUGGCGGCGUGCCUAAUACAUGCAAGUCGAACGCACUCUCGUUUAGAUUGAAGGAGCUUGCUCCUGAUUGAUAAACAUUUGAGUGAGUGGCGGACGGGUGAGUAACACGUGGGUAACCUGCCCUAAAGUGGGGGAUAACAUUUGGAAACAGAUGCUAAUACCGCAUAAAACCUAACACCGCAUGGUGUAGGGUUGAAAGAUGGUUUCGGCUAUCACUUUAGGAUGGACCCGCGGUGCAUUAGUUAGUUGGUGAGGUAAAGGCUCACCAAGACCGUGAUGCAUAGCCGACCUGAGAGGGUAAUCGGCCACACUGGGACUGAGACACGGCCCAGACUCCUACGGGAGGCAGCAGUAGGGAAUCUUCCACAAUGGACGAAAGUCUGAUGGAGCAACGCCGCGUGAGUCGAAGAAGGUUUCGGAUCGUAAAACUCUAGUUGUUGGAGAAGAAUGUAUCUGAUAGUAACUGAUCAGGUAGUGACGGUAU